GAUGAACGCUGGCGGCGUGCCUAAUACAUGCAAGUCGAGCGAACGGACGAGAAGCUUGCUUCUCUGAUGUUAGCGGCGGACGGGUGAGUAACACGUGGAUAACCUACCUAUAAGACUGGGAUAACUUCGGGAAACCGGAGCUAAUACCGGAUAAUAUUUUGAACCGCAUGGUUCAAAAGUGAAAGACGGUCUUGCUGUCACUUAUAGAUGGAUCCGCGCUGCAUUAGCUAGUUGGUAAGGUAACGGCUUACCAAGGCAACGAUGCAUAGCCGACCUGAGAGGGUGAUCGGCCACACUGGAACUGAGACACGGUCCAGACUCCUACGGGAGGCAGCAGUAGGGAAUCUUCCGCAAUGGGCGAAAGCCUGACGGAGCAACGCCGCGUGAGUGAUGAAGGUCUUCGGAUCGUAAAACUCUGUUAUUAGGGAAGAACAUAUGUGUAAGUAACUGUGCACAUCUUGACGGUACCUAAUCAGAAAGCCACGGCUAACUACGUGCCAGCAGCCGCGGUAAUACGUAGGUGGCAAGCGUUAUCCGGAAUUAUUGGGCGUAAAGCGCGCGUAGGCGGUUUUUUAAGUCUGAUGUGAAAGCCCACGGCUCAACCGUGGAGGGUCAUUGGAAACUGGAAAACUUGAGUGCAGAAGAGGAAAGUGGAAUUCCAUGUGUAGCGGUGAAAUGCGCAGAGAUAUGGAGGAACACCAGUGGCGAAGGCGACUUUCUGGUCUGUAACUGACGCUGAUGUGCGAAAGCGUGGGGAUCAAACAGGAUUAGAUACCCUGGUAGUCCACGCCGUAAACGAUGAGUGCUAAGUGUUAGGGGGUUUCCGCCCCUUAGUGCUGCAGCUAACGCAUUAAGCACUCCGCCUGGGGAGUACGACCGCAAGGUUGAAACUCAAAGGAAUUGACGGGGACCCGCACAAGCGGUGGAGCAUGUGGUUUAAUUCGAAGCAACGCGAAGAACCUUACCAAAUCUUGACAUCCUUUGACAACUCUAGAGAUAGAGCUUUCCCCUUCGGGGGACAAAGUGACAGGUGGUGCAUGGUUGUCGUCAGCUCGUGUCGUGAGAUGUUGGGUUAAGUCCCGCAACGAGCGCAACCCUUAAGCUUAGUUGCCAUCAUUAAGUUGGGCACUCUAAGUUGACUGCCGGUGACAAACCGGAGGAAGGCGGGGAUGACGUCAAAUCAUCAUGCCCCUUAUGAUUUGGGCUACACACGUGCUACAAUGGACAAUACAAAGGGCAGCGAAACCGUGAGGUCAAGCAAAUCCCAUAAAGUUGUUCUCAGUUCGGAUUGUAGUCUGCAACUCGACUACAUGAAGCUGGAAUCGCUAGUAAUCGUAGAUCAGCAUGCUACGGUGAAUACGUUCCCGGGUCU
RNAcentral lists this ribosomal RNA (1372 nucleotides) under uncultured bacterium. RNAcentral describes it as "bacterial SSU rRNA". It matches the Rfam family "Bacterial small subunit ribosomal RNA", at positions 28 to 1381 of the family's 1533-position model. The record is from RNAcentral.